UGAGAAAGGUGCGCACUUGUUUCAAGUC
RNAcentral lists this non-coding RNA (28 nucleotides) under Mus musculus (house mouse). The record is from RNAcentral. Lineage: Eukaryota; Metazoa; Chordata; Mammalia; Rodentia; Muridae.